This 450-nucleotide ribosomal RNA is filed under the name uncultured bacterium. Its description in RNAcentral is "bacterial SSU rRNA". It matches the Rfam family "Bacterial small subunit ribosomal RNA", at positions 27 to 507 of the family's 1533-position model. The record is from RNAcentral.
GGACGAACGCUGGCGGCAUGCCUAACACAUGCAAGUCUAGGGGUAGCAAUACCACUGGCGCACGGGUGAGUAACACGUAGGUUAUCUGCCCCCAUCACAGACAUAACCCCGGGAAACCGGGGCUAAUAUCUGAUGAGGUCGCGAGAUCAAAGCUUCGGCGGAUGGGGAUGAGCCUGCGGCUGAUUAGCUAGUUGGUGAGGUAAUGGCUCACCAAGGCGACGAUCAGUAGCUGGUCUGAGAGGACGAACAGCCACACUGGAACUGAGACACGGUCCAGACUCCUACGGGAGGCAGCAGUGAGGAAUAUUGGUCAAUGGGAGCAAUCCUGAACCAGCAAUGCCGCGUGUGGGAUGACAGGGCUUCGCCUUGUAAACCACUGUCGGACGGGACGAAAGGAGGCCUGGGGCCUCUGGGACGGUACCGUCAAAGGAAGGGUCGGCUAACUACGUG